UUGGUCAUUUAGAGGAAGUAAAAGUCGUAACAAGGUUUCCGUAGGUGAACCUGCGGAAGGAUCAUUAAAGAGUAAGGGUGCUCAGCGCCCGACCUCCAACCCUUUGUUGUUAAAACUACCUUGUUGCUUUGGCGGGACCGCUCGGUCUCGAGCCGCUGGGGAUUCGUCCCAGGCGAGCGCCCGCCAGAGUUAAACCAAACUCUUGUUAAUUAAACCGGUCGUCUGAGUUAAAAUUUUGAAUAAAUCAAAACUUUCAACAACGGAUCUCUUGGUUCUCGCAUCGAUGAAGAACGCAGCGAAAUGCGAUAAGUAAUGUGAAUUGCAGAAUUCAGUGAAUCAUCGAAUCUUUGAACGCACAUUGCGCCCCUUGGUAUUCCGAGGGGCAUGCCUGUUCGAGCGUCAUUACACCACUCAAGCUAUGCUUGGUAUUGGGUGCCGUCCUUAGUUGGGCGCGCCUUAAAGACCUCGGCGAGGCCUCACCGGCUUUAGGCGUAGUAGAAUUUAUUCGAACGUCUGUCAAAGGAGAGGACUUCUGCCGACUGAAACCUUUUAUUUUUCUAGGUUGACCUCGGAUCAGGUAGGGAUACCCGCUGAACUUAAGCAUAUCAAUAAG
This 613-nucleotide ribosomal RNA is filed under the name uncultured fungus. Its description in RNAcentral is "eukaryotic LSU rRNA". The stretch from base 249 to 402 matches the Rfam family "5.8S ribosomal RNA". The record is from RNAcentral. Lineage: Eukaryota; Fungi.